GUGAGGAAUAUUGCGCAAUGGAGGCAACUCUGACGCAGCCAUGCCGCGUGCAGGAAGAAGGCGCUACGCGUUGUAAACUGCUUUUAACCGGGAAGAAACCCCAGGACGUGUCCUGGGUUGACGGUACCGGAGGAAUAAGCACCGGCUAACUUCGUGCCAGCAGCCGCGGUAAUACGAAGGGUGCAAGCGUUAUCCGGAUUCAUUGGGUUUAAAGGGUGCGUAGGCGGAGCGUUAAGUCAGUGGUGAAAUCCUGCAGCUUAACUGUAGACUUGCCAUUGAUACUGGCGCUCUUGAGUGCGCUUGAAGUGGGCGGAAUGUGCCGUGUAGCGGCGAAAUGCUUAGAUAUGGCACAGAACACCAAUUGCGAAGGCAGCUCACUAAGGCGAUACUGACGCUGAGGCACGAAAGCGUGGGGAUCGAACAGGAUUAGAUACCCUUGUAGUCC
This 445-nucleotide ribosomal RNA is filed under the name uncultured bacterium. Its description in RNAcentral is "partial 16S ribosomal RNA". It matches the Rfam family "Bacterial small subunit ribosomal RNA", at positions 354 to 796 of the family's 1533-position model. The record is from RNAcentral.